AGAGUUUGAUCCUGGCUCAGAUUGAACGCUGGCGGCAUGCCUUACACAUGCAAGUCGAACGGUAACAGGUUAAGCUGACGAGUGGCGAACGGGUGAGUAAUAUAUCGGAACGUGUCCAGUUGUGGGGGAUAACUACUCGAAAGAGUGGCUAAUACCGCAUGAGACCUGAGGGUGAAAGCGGGGGAUUGUAAGACCUCGCGCAAUUGGAGCGGCCGAUAUCAGAUUAGCUAGUUGGUGGGGUAAAAGCCCACCAAGGCAACGAUUUGUAGCUGGUCUGAGAGGAUGACCAGCCACAUUGGGACUGAGAUACGGCCCAGACUCCUAUGGGAGGCAGCAGUGGGGAAUUUUGGAUAAUGGACGAAAGUCUGAUCCAGCCAUGCCGCGUGCGGGAAGAAGGCCUUUGGGUUGUAAACCGCUUUUGUCAGGGAAGAAACGGCGCGCUUUAAUAUAGUGUGCUAAUGACGGUACCUGAAGAAUAAGCACCGGUUAACUACGUGCCAGUAGUUGUGGUAAUACGUAGGGUGCAAGCGUUAAUCGGAAUUACUGGGCGUAAAGCGUGCGCAGGCGGUUAUGCAAGACAGAUGUGAAAUCCCUGGGUUUAACCUGGGAAUUGCAUUUGUGACUGCAUAGCUAGAGUACGGUAGAGGGGGAUGGAAUUCCGCGUGUAGCAGUGAAAUGCGUAGAUAUGCGGAGGAAUAUCGAUGGUGAAGGCAAUCCCCUGGACCUGUACUGACGCUCAUGCACGAAAGCGUGGGGAGUAAACAGGAUUAGAUAUCCUGGUAGUCCACGCCCUAAACGAUGUCAACUGGUUGUUGGGAGGGUUUCUUCUCAGUAACGAAGCUAAUGCGUGAAGUUGACCGCCUGGGGAGUACGGCCGCAAGGUUGAAACUCAAAGGAAUUGACGGGGACCCGCACAAGCGGUGGAUGAUGUGGUUUAAUUCGAUGCAAUGCGAAAAACCUUACCUACCCUUGACAUGUCAGAGAUCCCGAAGAGAUUUGGGAGUGCUCGAAAGAGAAUCUGAACACAGGUGCUGUAUGGCCGUCGUCAGCUCGUGUCGUGAGAUGUUGGGUUAAGUCCCGCAACGAGCGCAACCCUUGCCAUUAGUUGCUACGAAAGGGCACUCUAAUGAGACUGCCGGUGAUAAACCGGAGGAAGGUGGGGAUGACGUCAGGUCAUCAUGGCCCUUAUGGGUAGGGCUACACACGUCAUACAAUGGCCGGUACAGAGGGCUGCCAACCCGCGAGGGGGAGCUAAUCCCAGAAAACCGGUCGUAGUCCGGAUCGUAGUCUGCAACUCGACUGCGUGAAGUCGGAAUCGCUAGUAAUCGCGGAUCAGCUUGCCGCGGUGAAUACGUUCCCGGGUCUUGUACACACCGCCCGUCACACCAUGGGAGCGGGUUCUGCCAGAAGUAGUUAGCCUAACCGUAAGGAGGGCGAUUACCAUGGCAGGGUUCGUGACUGGGGUGAAGUUGAAGCAAGGUA
RNAcentral lists this ribosomal RNA (1482 nucleotides) under metagenome. RNAcentral's name for it is "bacterial SSU rRNA". It matches the Rfam family "Bacterial small subunit ribosomal RNA". The record is from RNAcentral.